RNAcentral lists this long non-coding RNA (3144 nucleotides) under Gossypium barbadense (sea-island cotton). Its description in RNAcentral is "long non-coding RNA (GBAR_LNC009437)". Lineage: Eukaryota; Viridiplantae; Streptophyta; Magnoliopsida; Malvales; Malvaceae. The record is from RNAcentral.
UUAGAGUAAAAUCCUAGAUUUGUCCCUGAUUACAGGUACGUACCUAAAUCCACAUGUUUGACGUACUGUUUUCGAGUUUAUUUGUAUUUUAAAAACAUUUGUCAUAUUUAUUAAUAUUCAUACAAAUAUAUCUCAAUUAUAUAUAUAAAUAUAUUUAUAUAAAAAUAUAAAUGUUAAAAUUAUUAAUUAAGUUCAAUAACUUAAUUAAAGGAGUAUCUUUUUUAAAAAAUAAUAUUAUAAAAAUAAAUUGUAACGUCCCCUAACCUUAUACCGUCACCAGAACAGGGUUACGAGACAUUACCAGUCAGUACAGUCCAAUUCCGGUCAUUAAUUAAAAUAAAUAUUCACACACAUCCUAGUUUUAAGAUGUUGUCCCUUUAAUGGGCCCUCGCGGUCCAAUAUGAACAGUAAAUUCAAUUCGGGACUAAUUUAGAAUCACUACGAAUUCUUAGUAAAUUUCAAAAUUCAUACUACAUACCGUUGCCAACCAUAAUUUACUCAUUUCAUCAAUACUUCUAUAACCUAAAUGACUCUCAUAAAACGUCCUAGGUACAUGCCAUUAUCAAUACUCAACAUACUUUACCUUAAUGAAUUCGGGAUCGUCUUGGGAUGCUGAUUCAACGUACUAUCUUUACUUAACCUGCGCACGGAAACAAACCGUACGCUGAGUAUGGUAUACUCAGUGGUAUUUCUAUAAUCCGAACAAUUAAUAAUAUAACAAAUACUUAAGAUCAUAAUAACAAUUACAAUUAUUCAAUUAUUUAUUCAUAGAUAAAUUUCAACUACUUACCAUAUAAAUUUUAUACAAAUCAUAGAAUAAACACAAUAACAUAAUUGUUCAAUUCUUAACUAAAUCCAUUAUUAUUUACUCCAUUCUUUCACUUACUACUCGGUAUAGCUUCCCUUCAUUUACUCACAAUUCAAUAUCAUUAAACUAUAUUCAACUAUACACUUAUCAAUCAUAUUCCAUUUUAAUUCAUUUCAAUAACAGUCAAUUUCAUUUAUAUCAUAUCAACUUACUAUCCCUGAUAGCUUUCAGUAUAUACAUGCGAUUCAUAUAUCUCAAAUCACAUUUCAAUUCAUCAAGUGGCAUCAUAUAUCAUCAAUUCGAACUCCAAUCAUUUCAUGAACCUUUGGUUCAUAUUUUCAAUUUCAUAUCUAAAUUUUCAAUUCUCAAUUCAAUUUCUCUUUUCAUUUCAAUAGCUUGAUCAAUCAAAUUUAUUCGAUUUAUCUUUCACUUAUUUACCCCUAUUAACAAACUCGGACUUUGACGAAUACACGGAUUCCAACCCAAACACACCAGUACGACACAUUGUGCCUAAAACGGUACAUAGUACCUGAUCAGUAUACGACACAUAAAGUGCCUAAAACGACACACGAGGUGCCUGAUACGACACACGAGGUGCCUGAAAUAUGACACAUAAAGUGCCUGAUCGGUAAAGCCGGCAAUUCCCGUACACUUCCAGAUCCUAUGGCAUGCCAAUUAUAUCCGACUCACCCCGACUAGUUAAUAGGGUAUUUCAUUCACUUUCUCAAUUGAAUAAUUCUUUCAUCAAUAUCCCAUUCAGAUAAUUACAUAUAUUUACCCAUUUUCACAAUUCAUACAAUUUCAUCCAAUUCCACAAUAUAUUUCAAUUAUUCAUAUUAAUUCAUAAUUCAAUACAAUUCAAUUCACUUUUCAAUAUCAAAUAUUCAAAUAUCACAAUCUCAUAUAUUCAUAUCAAUUUCCUCAUAUUUCCAAUCAAUAUAUUUUUCAAUAUAAUAUUCAUUCAAUAUUCAAAUUUCUACAUAAAUCAUAUAUAUUAUAUAAUUCAAUCAAUAUAAAUUCAAUCAAAAUAAUUUCAAUCAAUAUAAAUUCAAUAAAUUCAUCGCAUACCAAAAUCAAUCCAUUCCAAUUGUAAAACAUCAUAAUUCUAACACUAACAAUUGCCAUAUGUAUAUAAAUAUAACAAAUAAUAACUAAGUUCGGAUUAUAGAAAUACAAACCGUAAUUUUCGAGCUAACUCCCGUUGACUUUGUCUUGUCCUUUUUUAGCCGAGAUUUUCGGUACCACAUUGACUACGAAAUUAAUACAAUUCAUAAUCAUUAAUACAUUACUAAUUCAUAUCUUGAGUUACAGAAUUCUAAGUUAAGAUCCGCUAAUUUUUCCUGAAACUAGACUCACAAAUCUUCUUACAAUAAAAUUUUCAGAAUUUUUGGUUUAGCCAUUAAGUACAGUUUAUUCUUUAAAUUCACCCCUAUUCUGCUGUCUAAUAGUUUCGUCCCUUCUUCACUAAAAAUUAAUUAUCUCACAGUACAGAACUCGGAUAAUAUUCCCAUUGAUUUCUCUUGAAAAUAGACUCAUUAGGGAUUCUAAAAAUAUAACUUUAAGCCUCUAAUUAUUUUUCUUCAAUUUUUAGUGAUUUUCCAAAGUCAGAACAGGGGAACCCGAAUUCAUUCUGACAUUGUCUCACAAAAUACAUUAUAUCUCAUAAUUUACAAUUCAAUUGCUUAUAUCGUUUCUUCUAUAAGAAACUAGACUCAAUAAUAUUUAAUUUCAUAUUUUAUUCAUCUUCUAAUUCGAUUUCUAUAAUUUUUUAUGAUUUUUCAAAGUUAGACUACUGCUGCUGUCUAAAACAGUUUUAGUGCAAAAUGUUGAUUUACUUUAAUUUCAAUUUAAUCCUAACUAAAUUCUCUUACUUUUCUAUCUUAAUUCAUACUUUAUUUCUAUUCAAAUUUUGUCCAAACUCAUACUUAACUAUUAAAUUUCAAGCAUAUUUUCAUAAUUUCGAAUUUAUUUCCAUUUAAUCCCUAAAACUCAAAACUUAUAGCUUAGUUUACGAUUCAAUCCUUUAUUCAAUUCCAAUCAAAAUUUCAAUCAAAUAAACCCCCAAUUCCAUCAUUUUAUUCAACAUGAACCAAACUUAGAAAUCUAAUGACUUUCAAAAUUUCUACUUAAAACAAGCACUAUUUAUCUCUAGGAUUCCAAAAAACUCAAAAAUCAUAAGAAAAGGGGCUAAAUUGACUUACCAAAUUAACUUGGAACCUUUAAAACCUUAUUUUCCCUUUUUCUUUUCUUUCUUUCUUUCUCCCCUGUUUCUUCUCUGUUUCGUUUCCUGCUAUUCUGUUUCCUUCCUUCUUUUUAUUCUUUUGUUUCUUUCCUUU